CCAGCCGCCCCCACACCCCCGCAGCCCCUGCCAAACUCAACCAGGUCUCGCCCCCGGUCUUCGAUAUUGGAGACGACCAGAGCGUGGUGUCCGCUCAGAGCCCUGCCAGCACAUCCAUGGAGCCCCUAGUGGCUGGUCUCAUCUCCCUCUUCAUCAUCGCGCUCGGCCUGGUCUCCACCCUCCUCUACCUCAAGUUCCAACAGCGCCGCGUCCGCCCGGAGUUCCGACGUCUCCAAGACUUGCCCAUGGAUGACAUGAUGGAGGACACCCCCCUGUCCCUGUACAGCUACUGACCCGUCCCUACCGCCACCGCGACACGCCGCCCGUUCCAGAUUGCACACGAUUAGUCAUGUAGAAAAAGAAGUGCUCCGUGUGACGAUGAACAUGCUUGUUUUCUUAUCGCACAGCUGACUGUGUACGCAUCGUAGACACUGCCUGCAGGGAUUUUAAAAGACCUGCCUGUCCUGACCAGGACCCUAGGAGCUGCCCUGGACCUUCUGCCAAAGUGCACCCCUCACAACACUGCCACUGCUACCCGGCUCUCAAGAACCUCCUUGUAUCUGCCCUCUCUUGCAUCGCUCUGUUUUGGUGAAGCGCCACAGAAAAGAGCUGCUUG
This is a long non-coding RNA of Polyodon spathula (Mississippi paddlefish), 616 nucleotides long. RefSeq lists it as uncharacterized. NCBI's taxonomy places the organism in Eukaryota, Metazoa, Chordata, Actinopteri, Acipenseriformes, Polyodontidae. The transcript is spliced from 3 exons. The record is from RefSeq and is a predicted model, not a curated record.